Molecule: ribosomal RNA, 496 nt
Filed under: uncultured bacterium
Lineage: Bacteria
Description: partial 16S ribosomal RNA
Rfam family: Bacterial small subunit ribosomal RNA
Source: RNAcentral
AUUGAACGCUGGCGGAAUGCUUUACACAUGCAAGUCGAACGGUAGAGGGGGCAACCCCUCGAGAGUGGCGAACGGGUGAGUAAUAUAUCGGAACGUGCCCAGUCGUGGGGGAUAACGUAGCGAAAGUUACGCUAAUACCGCAUACGAUCUAAGGAUGAAAGCGGGGGAUCGCAAGACCUCGCGCGCUUGGAGCGGCCGAUAUCAGAUUAGGUAGUUGGUUGGGUAAAGGCUCACCAAGCCAACGAUCUGUAGCUGGUCUGAGAGGACGACCAGCCACACUGGAACUGAGACACGGUCCAGACUCCUACGGGAGGCAGCAGUGGGGAAUUUUGGACAAUGGACGCAAGUCUGAUCCAGCCAUUCCGCGUGCAGGAUGAAGGCCCUCGGGUUGUAAACUGCUUUUGUACGGAACGAAAAGGUCUCUCUUAAUCCGGGGGGCUCAUGACGGUACCGUAAGAAUAAGCACCGGCUAACUACGUGCCAGCCGCCGCAGUAA